CUUGGAUAGCCGCAGUUAAGGCAGUUGGUGUCUUAUUAAUGAAAACUAGAGAAUUAAAGAGUUUGGGACCAUAAAUGGAGAAGCUUACCGAAGAUAUGGCCUUUCAAGUGAAGGAGAGUAAGGAAAGUGGUUGGGGUAUUCCAAGAUGUGAAGAAUCCUGUCUUUUGUGUGGAAUUCAAGAUAUUGAUCAACUUUUCCCACAAGAAGAAGCAUUUGCCUCCAGGGUACCAUGGACGUGUGGCAAUAUAAAUCCAAAGGACAACUGAGGCCUAGUUAAAAGCCACUUUCCUGCACAUUCAGUCUCAGACUACAUUGUUUGCUAACAAUAGGACUCAAACUGAUUUACAUACUAAGGAAAAACUCUGCUAGGGAAAUUAAUCUUAGGUGUCAUAUCAAUUAAAUGCUCUUAUUACUUAAUUGUAAUGUUUUUAAUGUACUGAAUAGGUUGAUUUGAAUAAAUUCACA
This is a long non-coding RNA of Saccostrea cuccullata (small rock oyster), 465 nucleotides long. RefSeq lists it as uncharacterized. Lineage: Eukaryota; Metazoa; Mollusca; Bivalvia; Ostreida; Ostreidae. The record is from RefSeq and is a predicted model, not a curated record. The transcript has 3 exons.